CACCCCAAACUGCAGGAACGAUGUACAUCGUGUGAUGUUUCUUUCAUGGUAGUGAUGGACACAAGGAUGUAAGCACCAUUACCUGCACACAAGCGUGUCCCUCACAAGUGUGAAUCUGACCAGUGGGCAAAGAUGAGCUGAAUGUGAAAGCCCUCAGCACUGUUCCUGGGAGGGGGUGGCCAAGAGACGCCGGGAUGGAAGACAGUCAGGCUCCAGGCUCCGGGUGGCUGGGCAGGUUUGUGAGAGGCCCAGAGAGAAGUAAGGAGCCCUGGUGGAGGAGGAUGGGGACCCUAGGCCCAGCCCCAGACCUGGACAAGGCCUCACAGCUACACCUGCCUGGUCACCACCUCUCAGCCUCCGUCUCUGCAGCUGGAGGUCUCCACAGAUAAGAUUUCUCAACUUCAAACUGUCAUCAAGGUGCAUCUCCACUCCCCGUCUUCGGGCUAGUGCCUAUAUUCCAGGGUCACCCGGGGUAGUUCCGAGAGGCCAAAUCUUCAAGCCCUACACCACCCCCCUGCUUUGAGACUGGAGUAGAGACCGGAGAGCGGAGAGGCAGAAAGUGACUGCUGGAGACAUAGAUGGAAAAGCAGAGUGUGAGAAAAUACCAGGAAGACUAGGGAUGACAGGCAGGCAAAAGCGGGUUGGCCUGGACAGUCGCUGCGAAGUCGAAGUCGCCCUGCCGGAAACGUCCGGGGUAGGGGUGGGGGGACCUGGUUCCGCAGAGGCUGAGCCGUCCCAGGUAAGAGGAUCCGCUCCGAAUUCACAAAUGAAACCUGGAGGCUCAGCUUGGGACGCAGAGAGCAAGGCUGCUUCUUGCUUCCUGACCUUCAGCUUGGGCCCUUCGCUCUCCGCCCCCACCGAUCUCCCCUGCGGCCACCUCUACCCCUCCAGACGCCCGCGUCGUCGUCGCAGGUGUUCAGGCACACAGCCCACA
Molecule: long non-coding RNA, 934 nt
Organism: Neofelis nebulosa (Clouded leopard)
Lineage: Eukaryota; Metazoa; Chordata; Mammalia; Carnivora; Felidae
Exons: 3
Source: RefSeq, a predicted model, not a curated record